RNAcentral lists this small nuclear RNA (100 nucleotides) under Ursus americanus (American black bear). Lineage: Eukaryota; Metazoa; Chordata; Mammalia; Carnivora; Ursidae. The record is from RNAcentral.
GUGCUCUUUUCAGCAGCACGUGUACUAAAAUUGAAAUGAUAGAUUAGCAUGGCCCCUGUGCAAGGAUGACACACAAAUUCGUGACAUGUUCCAUAUUUUA